Misgurnus anguillicaudatus (oriental weatherfish) is the source of this 1782-nucleotide non-coding RNA. The record is from RefSeq and is a predicted model, not a curated record. NCBI's taxonomy places the organism in Eukaryota, Metazoa, Chordata, Actinopteri, Cypriniformes, Cobitidae.
CGGCGGUUUUUGGGUGGCACAAAGUCAGCGGCUUGACGCGGUCGGACCACCGUCGGGGCACCUUCGGCAAACCGACCAACGUAAAAAAGCUGUCGGUCUGCUGGCGUUUCUUGGGUGGCAAGCCACCAGCGGCUUGCCCCUGCUGGACCACCGUUGGUACACCAGUGGCAAACUGCUAGGUUUCUACUGAAACUAAGAAUUAUAAAAAUCUUAAGAAAAUACACGAAAAACAAUACGAGACUGCAUAUAGGGCUUAUUUAACGAAAUGCAUACAUUUUUUUAAUAUUUCAGUUUAAAAGAAUUUUAAGGAUAAAAUAAAAAAUGAGAGAUAGUGUUUAAUACAAUAUAGUCCACGUGCAGGUGUGGUAAUUUGGACAUUUAUAGACAACAAACAAACACGAGUUUGUGAUUUCAUAAUCAUUUGAGGAGAUUUUAAAUUGUUGUAGUGAUUAUGUCAAUGUGUGAAUUUGCCAUGACGCGUGUGUUGUGCGCGCCGAACACGUGCCCCUUUUGGCUUGUUCGACUUCAUGCGGCGCUGCAAGACCCGACAGCUGUAUGACGUCAAAGUACCGGGAGAACGAUUCGAGAACUCAUACGAAGUGUAAUUUCGUCUCGCUCUCGCGGCACUUUAACGUCAUCCGUCUGUCAGUGGCCGCAGGCAAGAAGUCGAACAGCCUUCUUUCUAUCAAUACGGAUUACCAUGAGGUGGGACUGACGAAGCUCCUCUUUCACGGGUUUCUUUACUGUUUUCAGAUUUUCCAUGCUGAUAUCCGUGGAGCAGAGUUGAAGCAGACCUGUCAGAAAACAUCUCUAAGGUGCUAUGAAUCUCAUAACUAGAUACACAUCAUAAGAUAACUAGAGCUUACGGCUCUGUUUGGAUCCAGCCUCACUUGUGAAGACUUCAGAUGAUGUAAACACUCACAAAGACAUUAUAUGAUGGCAUCUAUAGAUGGACAUACACAACUGCCAAAUGUAACAUAUUGUAAUUACUGCACCAAAGCGCAACCCUACAGAUUUUUAACCCACUUAAUAUUGUUACAAAUACAAUAUAUGUUUAUAUUUGAAAAAAUAUUCUUUAGCUAAUUUUACUUAUUUAUUUCCAUUUAUUUGUCCACAAUACUCCGCCAAAAUGAUGUUUUGCAUCAUCCAAAUAUUGUUAAUGUACAUAUUACAGACAUUGUAACAACACAAAGUGGAUUGAAAAGGUUUCUUCUUCUAAUUGCAGUAACUACGCAAACACUAAAACCGAGAAAAAAGUUCUUAAAGUAUUUUACACCAGCCAGUCAAACUUGUUACUGCAAUUUUGGCAAACACAUUUCUCUGAUGGGACAAAAUUAAACCAGGAGACUUUGUCACAAGACAACAGAUCUCACAAAGCCCAUUUCAACCUUUACCUCAAUUUGGACCAAAUGCAUAGUUAAUGCGCUUUGGCUUUGUUGGGCAGUAUAGUAGUAUUAUAGUAAUGCUGGAGUGAAACCAUGGUAACCAUAUAUUUUUAAAUCAUGGUAAAGUUUGUGGUUACUAAAAUGCAGUACUAUAAACCUAUGCUGUUGUAAGAGAAUGUUUAUUCUUUAUUAUUGUUGUGAAACCAUGGUUGAUUUUAUAUUUACCAUGUGUUACUGCAAAUGAUGGUAAAAUCAUGGAUAACUUUGCAUGGAUACAGAAAGGUGUAAACUGGUUGUUUUUAUUUGGAAGUCAUGUUGGUUUUAAUGCAUGUGAUAAAUGUAUAUGCAUUUGAAUAUUUAUUCUGUUUACUGACAAUAAUAAAUUUGCAGUUGCUGA